UACAGAGGUGGCAAGCGUUGUUCGGAAUUACUGGGCGUAAAGGGCGCGUAGGCGGCCAUCUAAGUCAGACGUGAAAUCCCCCGGCUUAACCUGGGAACUGCGUCUGAUACUGGAAGGCUUGAGUAUGGGAGAGGGAUGUAGAAUUCCAGGUGUAGCGGUGAAAUGCGUAGAUAUCUGGAGGAAUACCGGUGGCGAAGGCGGCAUCCUGGACCAUUACUGACGCUGAGGCGCGAAAGCAUGGGGAGCGAACAGG
Molecule: ribosomal RNA, 253 nt
Filed under: uncultured bacterium
Lineage: Bacteria
Description: partial 16S ribosomal RNA
Rfam family: Bacterial small subunit ribosomal RNA
Source: RNAcentral